RNAcentral lists this ribosomal RNA (253 nucleotides) under uncultured bacterium. RNAcentral describes it as "partial 16S ribosomal RNA". It matches the Rfam family "Bacterial small subunit ribosomal RNA", at positions 524 to 776 of the family's 1533-position model. The record is from RNAcentral.
UACAGAGGGGGCAAGCGUUAUUCGGAAUUAUUGGGCGUAAAGAGCUCGUAGGCGGCCUGUCGCGUCGGAUGUGAAAGCCCGGGGCUUAACCCCGGGUCUGCAUUCGAUACGGGCAGGCUAGAGUGUGGUAGGGGAGAUCGGAAUUCCUGGUGUAGCGGUGAAAUGCGCAGAUAUCAGGAGGAACACCGGUGGCGAAGGCGGAUCUCUGGGCCAUUACUGACGCUGAGGCACGAAAGCGUGGGGAGCAAACAGG